Molecule: small nuclear RNA, 76 nt
Filed under: Echinops telfairi (small Madagascar hedgehog)
Lineage: Eukaryota; Metazoa; Chordata; Mammalia; Afrosoricida; Tenrecidae
Description: U7 small nuclear RNA (ENSETEG00000026574.1)
Rfam family: U7 small nuclear RNA
About the family: Animal histone pre-mRNAs are spliced by a different mechanism than nuclear pre-mRNAs and self-splicing introns. This processing involves the U7 snRNP, which contains only one RNA species: U7. The 5' end of U7 RNA is thought to base-pair to a conserved spacer element downstream of the cleavage site in histone pre-mRNA.
Source: RNAcentral
UAGUGUUACAGCUCUUUUAGAAUUUGUCUAGCAGGUUUUCUGUUUUUCGUUUUUUUCGCCCCCCCGGAAAACCCAU